This 75-nucleotide transfer RNA is filed under the name Fodinisporobacter ferrooxydans. RNAcentral's name for it is "Alicyclobacillaceae bacterium MYW30-H2 tRNA-Gln". It matches the Rfam family "tRNA". From Rfam's summary of the family: Transfer RNA (tRNA) molecules are approximately 80 nucleotides in length. Their secondary structure includes four short double-helical elements and three loops (D, anti-codon, and T loops). The record is from RNAcentral. Lineage: Bacteria; Bacillati; Bacillota; Bacilli; Caryophanales; Alicyclobacillaceae.
UGGGGAUUAGCCAAGCGGUAAGGCAACGGACUUUGACUCCGUCACGCGAAGGUUCGAAUCCUUCAUCCCCAGCCA